AGCGAACGCUGGCGGCAGGCUUAACACAUGCAAGUCGAGCGGGCAUCCUUGUGGUGCCAGCGGCAGACGGGUGAGUAACGCGUGGGAACGUGCCCUUCGGUUCGGAAUAACUCAGGGAAACUUGAGCUAAUACCGGAUACGUGCGAGAGCAGAAAGGUUUAUCUGCCGAAGGAUCGGCCCGCGUCUGAUUAGCUAGUUGGUGAGGUUAUGGCUCACCAAGGCGACGAUCAGUAGCUGGUCUGAGAGGAUGAUCAGCCACACUGGGACUGAGACACGGCCCAGACUCCUACGGGAGGCAGCAGUGGGGAAUAUUGGACAAUGGGGGCAACCCUGAUCCAGCCAUGCCGCGUGAGUGAUGACGGCCUUAGGGUUGUAAAGCUCUUUUCUCCGGGACGAUAAUGACGGUACCGGAGGAAUAAGCCCCGGCUAACUUCGUG
Molecule: ribosomal RNA, 437 nt
Filed under: uncultured bacterium
Lineage: Bacteria
Description: partial 16S ribosomal RNA
Rfam family: Bacterial small subunit ribosomal RNA
Source: RNAcentral